Molecule: ribosomal RNA, 253 nt
Filed under: uncultured bacterium
Lineage: Bacteria
Description: partial 16S ribosomal RNA
Rfam family: Bacterial small subunit ribosomal RNA
Source: RNAcentral
UACGUAGGGUGCAAGCGUUGUCCGGAAUUAUUGGGCGUAAAGAGCUCGUAGGCGGUCUGUUGCGUCGGCUGUGAAAACCCGAGGCUCAACCUCGGGCCUGCAGCCGAUACGGGCAGACUAGAGUUCGGCAGGGGAGACUGGAAUUCCUGGUGUAGCGGUGAAAUGCGCAGAUAUCAGGAGGAACACCGGUGGCGAAGGCGGUUCUCUGGGAAUGUCCUGACGCUGAGGAGCGAAAGUGUGGGGAGCGAACAGG